GCUUCCAAGAGUCAAGUUGUUUGGGAUUGCAGCUUAAAAUGGGAGGUAAAUUUCUCCUAAGGCUAAAUAACGGCGAGAGACCGAUAGCGAACAAGUACCGUGAGGGAAAGAUGAAAAGAACUUUGAAAAGAGAGUUAAACAGUACGUGAAAUUGUUGAAAGGGAAACGAUUGAAGCCAGUCGUACCUGCGGGUAAUCAGCCUUUUGGGCAUGAUUCUGUGGAGCGUGAGGAGUUAAACGCCUUCAUGCCUGCAUAUUCGUGUACUUUGGGUGUACUUGCCUGUGUGGUUAGUUAACAUCAAUUUUGGUUAUCAUAAAAUGGUUGGAGGAAUGUAGCUUCGAUUUCGAUUGAAGUGUUAUAGCCUUCGGCAGAUGUGAUGAUCGGGAUUGAGGAUUGCAACGGAUACCCUUCGGGGCUACCUGCCUGAUCUCUGAUCGUUGCUCUGGUGCCGAAAGCGUGCUUACGGUUAUCAAAGUCGAUGGUUAAUAGGUUAGAAUGGGUUAAAUUCGUUA
This is a ribosomal RNA of 512 nucleotides. It matches the Rfam family "Eukaryotic large subunit ribosomal RNA", at positions 254 to 634 of the family's 3401-position model.